AUUAUUUUAAAUGUUAAUUAAAAUUACUAAAUUAGUAUUAGUUAUGUUCUUAAAAAUUAAAGAUUUUGGCGGUAUUUUAGUCUGUUCAGAGGAACCUGUUCUAUAAUUGAUAGUCCACGAUAAACAUUACUUAAUUUAUAAAUUUGUAUACCGUCGUUAUUAGAUAAUUUUAUAAGAAAUUAAAUUUUUGAUAUUUUAAAUAAAAAUUUAUAUCAGAUCAAGGUGCAGUUAAUAAUUAAGAAGAAAUGGGUUACAAUAAAUUUAUUUAAGAUGGAUUAAUAAUUUAAUAUUAUUAUGAAAGUGGAUUUGAAAGUAAUUAUAUUUAUUUAAAUUUAAUGAUUUUAGCUCUAAAAUAUGU
This 358-nucleotide ribosomal RNA is filed under the name Aspidytes niobe. RNAcentral describes it as "partial 12S ribosomal RNA". Lineage: Eukaryota; Metazoa; Arthropoda; Insecta; Coleoptera; Aspidytidae. The record is from RNAcentral.